Molecule: non-coding RNA, 47 nt
Organism: Mus musculus (house mouse)
Lineage: Eukaryota; Metazoa; Chordata; Mammalia; Rodentia; Muridae
Source: Rfam
UAAGAGGCUUUUAUCAAAGCCACAUAAGUUUGAUUGUUAUGGAGUGU